This 253-nucleotide ribosomal RNA is filed under the name uncultured bacterium. RNAcentral's name for it is "partial 16S ribosomal RNA". It matches the Rfam family "Bacterial small subunit ribosomal RNA", at positions 524 to 776 of the family's 1533-position model. The record is from RNAcentral.
UACGGAGGGUGCAAGCGUUGUCCGGAUUUAUUGGGUUUAAAGGGUGCGUAGGCGGCCCGGUAAGUCAGUGGUGAAAGCCUCCAGCUCAACUGGAGAACUGCCAUUGAUACUGCCGGGCUUGAGUACAGACGAGGUUGGCGGAAUUGAUUGUGUAGCGGUGAAAUGCAUAGAUACAAUCAAGAACUCCGAUUGCGUAGGCAGCUAACUAGGCUGUGACUGACGCUGAGGCACGAAAGCGUGGGGAGCGAACAGG